This 254-nucleotide ribosomal RNA is filed under the name uncultured bacterium. Its description in RNAcentral is "partial 16S ribosomal RNA". It matches the Rfam family "Bacterial small subunit ribosomal RNA", at positions 79 to 334 of the family's 1533-position model. The record is from RNAcentral.
CUUUCUUUGCUGGCGACCGGCGCACGGGUGAGUAACACGUAUCCAACCUGCCCUUUACUCGGGGAUAGCCUUUCGAAAGAAAGAUUAAUACCCGAUAGCAUAAUGAUUCCGCAUGGUUUCAUUAUUAAAGGAUUCCGGUAAAGGAUGGGGAUGCGUUCCAUUAGGUUGUUGGUGUGGUAACGGCCCACCAAGCCUUCGAUGGAUAGGGGUUCUGAGAGGAAGGUCCCCCACAUUGGAACUGAGACACGGUCCAA